AAAUUGAAGAGUUUGAUCAUGGCUCAGAUUGAACGCUGGCGGCAGGCCUAACACAUGCAAGUCGAGCGGUAGCACAGAGAGCUUGCUCUCGGGUGACGAGCGGCGGACGGGUGAGUAAUGUCUGGGAAACUGCCUGAUGGAGGGGGAUAACUACUGGAAACGGUAGCUAAUACCGCAUAACGUCGCAAGACCAAAGUGGGGGACCUUCGGGCCUCAUGCCAUCAGAUGUGCCCAGAUGGGAUUAGCUGGUAGGUGGGGUAACGGCUCACCUAGGCGACGAUCCCUAGCUGGUCUGAGAGGAUGACCAGCCACACUGGAACUGAGACACGGUCCAGACUCCUACGGGAGGCAGCAGUGGGGAAUAUUGCACAAUGGGCGCAAGCCUGAUGCAGCCAUGCCGCGUGUGUGAAGAAGGCCUUCGGGUUGUAAAGCACUUUCAGCGGGGAGGAAGGCGGUGAGGUUAAUAACCUCAUCGAUUGACGUUACCCGCAGAAGAAGCACCGGCUAACUCCGUGCCAGCAGCCGCGGUAAUACGGAGGGUGCAAGCGUUAAUCGGAAUUACUGGGCGUAAAGCGCACGCAGGCGGUCUGUCAAGUCGGAUGUGAAAUCCCCGGGCUCAACCUGGGAACUGCAUUCGAAACUGGCAGGCUAGAGUCUUGUAGAGGGGGGUAGAAUUCCAGGUGUAGCGGUGAAAUGCGUAGAGAUCUGGAGGAAUACCGGUGGCGAAGGCGGCCCCCUGGACAAAGACUGACGCUCAGGUGCGAAAGCGUGGGGAGCAAACAGGAUUAGAUACCCUGGUAGUCCACGCUGUAAACGAUGUCGAUUUGGAGGUUGUGCCCUUGAGGCGUGGCUUCCGGAGCUAACGCGUUAAAUCGACCGCCUGGGGAGUACGGCCGCAAGGUUAAAACUCAAAUGAAUUGACGGGGGCCCGCACAAGCGGUGGAGCAUGUGGUUUAAUUCGAUGCAACGCGAAGAACCUUACCUGGUCUUGACAUCCACAGAACUUAGCAGAGAUGCUUUGGUGCCUUCGGGAACUGUGAGACAGGUGCUGCAUGGCUGUCGUCAGCUCGUGUUGUGAAAUGUUGGGUUAAGUCCCGCAACGAGCGCAACCCUUAUCCUUUGUUGCCAGCGGU
Molecule: ribosomal RNA, 1133 nt
Filed under: Klebsiella variicola
Lineage: Bacteria; Pseudomonadati; Pseudomonadota; Gammaproteobacteria; Enterobacterales; Enterobacteriaceae
Description: bacterial SSU rRNA
Rfam family: Bacterial small subunit ribosomal RNA
Source: RNAcentral